GGAACGUUAGCUCAGCUGGAUAGAGCACACGCCUUCUAAGCGUGCGGCCGAAGGUUCGAAUCCUUUACGUUCCGCCA
Molecule: transfer RNA, 77 nt
Filed under: Clostridium sp. CAG:307_30_263
Lineage: Bacteria; Bacillati; Bacillota; Clostridia; Eubacteriales; Clostridiaceae
Also listed under: 1 other name
Description: tRNA-Arg
Rfam family: tRNA
About the family: Transfer RNA (tRNA) molecules are approximately 80 nucleotides in length. Their secondary structure includes four short double-helical elements and three loops (D, anti-codon, and T loops).
Source: RNAcentral